AACGAACGCUGGCGGCAUGCCUAACACAUGCAAGUCGAACGAAGGCUUCGGCCUUAGUGGCGCACGGGUGCGUAACGCGUGGGAAUCUGCCUUUAGGUUCGGAAUAACAGUUAGAAAUGCCUGCUAAUACCGGAUGAUGACGUAAGUCCAAAGAUUUAUCGCCUGAGGAUGAGCCUGCGUAGGAUUAGCUAGUUGGUGUGGUAAAGGCGCACAAAGGCGACGAUCCUUAGCUGGUCUGAGAGGAUGAUCAGCCACACUGGGGGUGGGACACGGCCCAGACUCCUACGGGAGGCAGCAGUGGGGAAUACAGGACAAUGGGCUCAAUCCUGAUGCAGCAAUGCCGCGUGAGUGAUGAAGGCCGUAGGGUUGUAAAGCUCUUUUACCCGUGAUGAUAAUGACGGUAGCGGGAGAAUAAGCCCCGGCUAACUCCGUG
Molecule: ribosomal RNA, 433 nt
Filed under: uncultured bacterium
Lineage: Bacteria
Description: partial 16S ribosomal RNA
Rfam family: Bacterial small subunit ribosomal RNA
Source: RNAcentral